GAUGAACGCUGGCGGCGUGCCUAAUACAUGCAAGUCGAGCGAACAGACGAGGAGCUUGCUCCUCUGACGUUAGCGGCGGACGGGUGAGUAACACGUGGAUAACCUACCUAUAAGACUGGGAUAACUUCGGGAAACCGGAGCUAAUACCGGAUAAUAUAUUGAACCGCAUGGUUCAAUAGUGAAAGACGGUUUUGCUGUCACUUAUAGAUGGAUCCGCGCCGCAUUAGCUAGUUGGUAAGGUAACGGCUUACCAAGGCAACGAUGCGUAGCCGACCUGAGAGGGUGAUCGGCCACCCUGGAACUGAGCCACGGUCCAGACUCCUACGGGAGGCAGCAGUAGGGAAUCUUCCGCAAUGGGCGAAAGCCUGACGGAGCAACGCCGCGUGAGUGAUGAAGGUCUUCGGAUCGUAAAACUCUGUUAUUAGGGAAGAACAAAUGUGUAAGUACCUAUGCACGUCUUGACGGUACCUAAUCAGAAAGCCACGGCUAACUACGUG
This 497-nucleotide ribosomal RNA is filed under the name uncultured bacterium. RNAcentral's name for it is "partial 16S ribosomal RNA". It matches the Rfam family "Bacterial small subunit ribosomal RNA", at positions 28 to 507 of the family's 1533-position model. The record is from RNAcentral.